Molecule: long non-coding RNA, 667 nt
Organism: Anguilla anguilla (European eel)
Lineage: Eukaryota; Metazoa; Chordata; Actinopteri; Anguilliformes; Anguillidae
Exons: 3
Source: RefSeq, a predicted model, not a curated record
CCGAACCACUAUAGUGACGACUGAACUGUACACAAUCAAUGCAACGGGGGUCUAUUUUAGUCAACUGAUUAAUGCAUGCCGUACUAAUUAAUCGGCGUGUUUUGUUCAUUAAUGAAGCGACGAGUCCAGAUUGUACCAGAACCAAAAUUGGCAUAAUGACCACGCAAGCGUAGGGUACGUUCGACCCAGAGCCCAGGACACAGUUUGUCGUAGUGUGCUUUACAAAAACCGUUUAUCGUUAUUUAAGAGAUAAAAUGAUUUCACCAAAGAUGAAAAACUGAAGCUACGUCUAAAUGCCACCUGCGUCAUUCACGACUGCCCCAUGCCAGUGUGUCACCGCCUGAUAUCUAUGGUCUCCGCCAGCAGAGUCAGAGCAGCCCAUUACCAGGCUAACCAGAACGAAGAGUCCGUAGCCCCGGGAAAUGGGAUUGGUCAGCGGGGAUUUCCGUUGUGUCACUGAAGAGCAUUCCAGGAAGUGAGUGCGACCAGUAAGAGGAUCAUGUGACACAGUAGUGCCAAGGCUAUUGGGAAGUGAAAGGGGUUCAUAAUGCCCAAGAUCCGGGGCGAGGCAGAAAACCUGAUGCCGUGUCGCUUCACAGGCUGUUUAGGGGGUUGGGGUGGGGGGAGCGAGGUUUCACACGUCUCACCUGUAAGGUGCGUUCGUUCA